RNAcentral lists this ribosomal RNA (1541 nucleotides) under Escherichia coli. RNAcentral's name for it is "bacterial SSU rRNA". It matches the Rfam family "Bacterial small subunit ribosomal RNA". Lineage: Bacteria; Pseudomonadati; Pseudomonadota; Gammaproteobacteria; Enterobacterales; Enterobacteriaceae. The record is from RNAcentral.
AAAUUGAAGAGUUUGAUCAUGGCUCAGAUUGAACGCUGGCGGCAGGCCUAACACAUGCAAGUCGAACGGUAACAGGAAGCAGCUUGCUGCUUUGCUGACGAGUGGCGGACGGGUGAGUAAUGUCUGGGAAACUGCCCGAUGGAGGGGGAUAACUACUGGAAACGGUAGCUAAUACCGCAUAACGUCGCAAGACCAAAGAGGGGGACCUUCGGGCCUCUUGCCAUCGGAUGUGCCCAGAUGGGAUUAGCUAGUAGGUGGGGUAAAGGCUCACCUAGGCGACGAUCCCUAGCUGGUCUGAGAGGAUGACCAGCCACACUGGAACUGAGACACGGUCCAGACUCCUACGGGAGGCAGCAGUGGGGAAUAUUGCACAAUGGGCGCAAGCCUGAUGCAGCCAUGCCGCGUGUAUGAAGAAGGCCUUCGGGUUGUAAAGUACUUUCAGCGGGGAGGAAGGGAGUAAAGUUAAUACCUUUGCUCAUUGACGUUACCCGCAGAAGAAGCACCGGCUAACUCCGUGCCAGCAGCCGCGGUAAUACGGAGGGUGCAAGCGUUAAUCGGAAUUACUGGGCGUAAAGCGCACGCAGGCGGUUUGUUAAGUCAGAUGUGAAAUCCCCGGGCUCAACCUGGGAACUGCAUCUGAUACUGGCAAGCUUGAGUCUCGUAGAGGGGGUAGAAUUCCAGGUGUAGCGGUGAAAUGCGUAGAGAUCUGGAGGAAUACCGGUGGCGAAGGCGGCCCCCUGGACGAAGACUGACGCUCAGGUGCGAAAGCGUGGGGAGCAAACAGGAUUAGAUACCCUGGUAGUCCACGCCGUAAACGAUGUCGACUUGGAGGUUGUGCCCUUGAGGCGUGGCUUCCGGAGCUAACGCGUUAAGUCGACCGCCUGGGGAGUACGGCCGCAAGGUUAAAACUCAAAUGAAUUGACGGGGGCCCGCACAAGCGGUGGAGCAUGUGGUUUAAUUCGAUGCAACGCGAAGAACCUUACCUGGUCUUGACAUCCACGGAAGUUUUCAGAGAUGAGAAUGUGCCUUCGGGAACCGUGAGACAGGUGCUGCAUGGCUGUCGUCAGCUCGUGUUGUGAAAUGUUGGGUUAAGUCCCGCAACGAGCGCAACCCUUAUCCUUUGUUGCCAGCGGUCCGGCCGGGAACUCAAAGGAGACUGCCAGUGAUAAACUGGAGGAAGGUGGGGAUGACGUCAAGUCAUCAUGGCCCUUACGACCAGGGCUACACACGUGCUACAAUGGCGCAUACAAAGAGAAGCGACCUCGCGAGAGCAAGCGGACCUCAUAAAGUGCGUCGUAGUCCGGAUUGGAGUCUGCAACUCGACUCCAUGAAGUCGGAAUCGCUAGUAAUCGUGGAUCAGAAUGCCACGGUGAAUACGUUCCCGGGCCUUGUACACACCGCCCGUCACACCAUGGGAGUGGGUUGCAAAAGAAGUAGGUAGCUUAACCUUCGGGAGGGCGCUUACCACUUUGUGAUUCAUGACUGGGGUGAAGUCGUAACAAGGUAACCGUAGGGGAACCUGCGGUUGGAUCACCUCCUUA